Molecule: non-coding RNA, 18 nt
Filed under: Mus musculus (house mouse)
Lineage: Eukaryota; Metazoa; Chordata; Mammalia; Rodentia; Muridae
Source: RNAcentral
UAUGGCCAGAACUUUUGA